GAAGGAGGGAGAACAUGAGAAAGAAAGUCAGGACCGUGAAAGAAGCAAAUGCUGGACAGGCUGCAAAUUCACAGAGAAGAUGAAGAGCCUCAUUGGUGUAAUAGAGUGAGAUGGUCAAGAUGGCUGCCACCCUUUCCCACUUCUGCAAACACAUGCACAUCCUGAGGGGAAUCCACAAUGACCAACACACUCACUCAGCUCUAUAAGGAACAGGUAAUAUCUACUGGUUCUUAGCAUGCUAGAGUAUUCUGUGAUUG
This is a long non-coding RNA of Arvicola amphibius (Eurasian water vole), 257 nucleotides long. RefSeq lists it as uncharacterized. The record is from RefSeq and is a predicted model, not a curated record. Lineage: Eukaryota; Metazoa; Chordata; Mammalia; Rodentia; Cricetidae. The transcript is spliced from 3 exons.